RNAcentral lists this ribosomal RNA (207 nucleotides) under uncultured bacterium. RNAcentral's name for it is "partial 16S ribosomal RNA". It matches the Rfam family "Bacterial small subunit ribosomal RNA", at positions 568 to 774 of the family's 1533-position model. The record is from RNAcentral.
CGUGUAGGCGGGCAAUCAAGUCAGAUGUAAAAGGCGACGGCUUAACCGUAGUAUGUCAUCUGAUACUGGUUGUCUUGAGUUCGAGAGAGGGUGGUGGAAUUCCCGGUGUAGCGGUGAAAUGCGUAGAUAUCGGGAAGAACACCAGAAGCGAAGGCGGCCACCUGGAUCGACACUGACGCUGAGACUCGAAAGCGUGGGUAGCAAACA